UUAUACGUAUUGCGUGGCAUUGCAAAGGAUUUAGCAUAGGCAUAUAACUGCCAAUAAUGUGCAGAAUUGAUGCUAAUAAUGAUUGAUCGUACUAACAAGAUUUUAUGUAAAGGAAUGCCUGCUUUAGCGAAUAUUGGAUUAUGUUAGUAAGUCAAUUAAUAAGAACUGGUAAAACCUAUUUAAAUAUAAUAUGCUUUUAUAUGAAUGAUGUAAUACUAUACGCCAAUGAAUGCACAGUAAGAAAUACCUACAGCUAUUAUACAACUAUUCAGAAACCUAACAAAUUUACUCUCCAGCAGAUGCCCUCUAAGGGCAAAAAUACGAUUAACAAAAUUGAAUUUCAGAAUCUAGUAGUUUUCUUCUCCCUACUGUUGUCGUGCUUUCUUCAGCCGGAAAUAAUCUUCACUUUUAUUCCUGUUCUGUGAAAUGCGUGUGUCUUCUCAACAAGAAAGGGAGUGAGUUAACUUAUAUGUCUGCAGGUCUGCCUGACUGCUGGUGUCAGCAGCUGCUCGUUUACACGCCACUAUUAUUUUCUUCGCUCGCUGCGCUAACUUCGCGUGUCAACUCGGUGCCUGAAUACUCCUAUCCCCGCUAAACAGGGAAGGGAAGACGUCUUAAAAUAUAUGUUAACAGGUGCAAGUAGUACAGAAAGCGAACGUCAGCAGCUCCGUUAUCAGCUGCUACCAGCACCAACCUAACAGCUGCUCACCUCGGUGAUCUACAGUCUUGGACACUUGUAAGCAAAAAUUAAGAUAUCUCACCUAAUAACGAAAAAUAUGCUAGCUAGUCUCUGUGUGUUUUAGUUUGCCUUGCUGACCAUGAUAUGAGAUGACCAUUCUGCCCGUCUUUCGGGUAGUUCAUUAAUGGUCACUUUCUCGACCUUUACUGCAGACAGUUUGAUAGCCUGACGGCGACCCCCGUUCAACUCACCUUAAAUGCGCUUAGUAAGUGUAAAUUGCAGCUUAAACAAAAGUGAGCUACAGAUAACAGACGUACGGUACCAGUAAUUAUCUUCACUAGACUGCUCGAGUUCGCAACUUGACUUCGGGCUUCAGGCUUCGGACGGCGUGCUGCCUAAUAGUGACUAAUCGGUCAUAUAUCCCGUCUGUUUGAAGACCGCUAGUCGACGUGCUCGGCAUCGACAGCGCGGUGCCUCUUCUGACGUCAGAAACUAGUUGAAGAUCUGGCUCUUCUCGUCAUCAGCGGGCACCGGUCUGCUCUACCUUUUGACAGCGGGCAUCACUCUGCUCAUCCUUCUGUCAUCCAAAGUCAGCGAGUACCGGUCUGCCAACUUUUGCCAGCAAUCGCCAAUCGGCUCAACCGUCUGACACCGAGUAGUCGAAUUGCUGCGCAUCGUAGUGAAGAUCGGUCUCCUCGCUCGUCUCUGCGUCAGCGGGCACCAGUCUGCUCAACCUUCUAUCAGCGAGUCUGCUCGACCAGUCAGCAGGAGCCGGUCUACUCGCUUACCUGCCAGCGGGUGGUCGACUCCUAGUCAUCGGCCACCUUUCGUGACCUGCGAGUUCGCCUACUCUGUUCGCCCUCCUGCCAGCAAGUAUCAAUUUGAUCGCCUGCCUGUCAGCUGAUUUCAGUCUGCUCGCCCUCCUAUCAGCGCGUGCCAGUCUGCUCGCCUUCCUGUCAGCCUUGCCGAUCUGCUGGCAAUCCUGUCAGCGGUUGCCGGUCUACUGGACUUCUUGUCAGCGUGUGCCAGUCUGCUCGCCUGCCUGACAGCGGGGCUACCAGUCUGCUCGCCUUACUGUCAGCGGGUUCCAGUCUGCUCGCCUGCCCGACAGCGGGGGUGCCAGUCUGCUCUCCUUCCUGUCAGCGGGUGCCAGUCUGCCGGGCCUUCGUGUCAGCGGGCGCCAGUCUGCCGGGCCUUCCUGCAGCUUUUCUUCCUGUCAGCGCGAGCCUGUCUGUUCGCCUAUCAGCGGUUGCAAGUCUGCUCGCCUGCCCGACAGCGGGGGUGCCAGUCUGCUCUCCUUCCUGUCAGCGGGUGCCAGUCUGCCGGGCCUUCGUGUCAGCGGGCGCCAGUCUGCCGGGCCUUCCUAUCAGCGGGGAUGCCAGUCUGCUCUCCCUCCCGACAGCGGGUGCCAGUCUGCCCGCCCUCCUGAUAGCGGGUGCGGGUGCCACUCCCGGGCCUUCCUGUCAGCGAGUGGUUGUCUGCUGGCCUUCAUGUCAGUGGCCGCCAGUCUGCUCGCUUUCCUGUGAGCGGGGGUGCCAGUCUGCUCUCCCUCCUGACAGUGGGUGCCAGUCUGCUCGCCUGCCUGUCAGCGGGUGCCAGUCUGCCCACCCUCCUGUUAGCGGGUGCGAGUCUGCUCGACUUCCUGACAGCGGGUGCCACACUACCGGACCAUCCUGUCAGCGAGUGGUGGUCUGCUCGCCUUCCUGUUAGAAGGUGCCAGUCUGCUCGCCUUCCUGUCAGCGGGCGCCAAUCUGCCGGGCCUUCCUGUCAGCGGGCGCCAGUCUGGCGGGCCUUCCUGUCAGCGGGGAUGCCAGUCUGCUUUCCCUCC
This is a long non-coding RNA of Aricia agestis (brown argus), 2507 nucleotides long. RefSeq lists it as uncharacterized. The record is from RefSeq and is a predicted model, not a curated record. NCBI's taxonomy places the organism in Eukaryota, Metazoa, Arthropoda, Insecta, Lepidoptera, Lycaenidae. The transcript is spliced from 4 exons.